UACGUAGGGGGCAAGCGUUGUCCGGAAUCAUUGGGCGUAAAGAGCGUGUAGGCGGUCCGGUAAGUCCGCUGUAAAAGUCAAGGGCUCAACCCUUGAAAGCCGGUGGAUACUGCCGGGCUAGAGUCCGGAAGAGGCGAGUGGAACUCCUGGUGUAGCGGUGAAAUGCGCAGAUAUCAGGAGGAACACCAGCGGCGAAGGCGGCGCUCUGGGCCGGAACUGACGCUGAGGAGCGAAAGCGUGGGUAGCAAACAGG
Molecule: ribosomal RNA, 253 nt
Filed under: uncultured bacterium
Lineage: Bacteria
Description: partial 16S ribosomal RNA
Rfam family: Bacterial small subunit ribosomal RNA
Source: RNAcentral